This is a non-coding RNA of Octodon degus (degu), 68 nucleotides long. The record is from the annotation of a RefSeq genome assembly. Lineage: Eukaryota; Metazoa; Chordata; Mammalia; Rodentia; Octodontidae.
GCUUUCUUAUAUAAUUAGUACUGCUGACUUCCAAUCACCAAGUUCCGUUAAUAUAAUGGAAGAAAGCA